GACGAACGCUGGCGGCGUGCUUAACACAUGCAAGUCGAACGGAAAGGCCCUGCUUUUGUGGGGUGCUCGAGUGGCGAACGGGUGAGUAACACGUGAGUAACCUGCCCUUGACUUUGGGAUAACUUCAGGAAACUGGGGCUAAUACCGGAUAGGAGCUCCUGCUGCAUGGUGGGGGUUGGAAAGUUUCGGCGGUUGGGGAUGGACUCGCGGCUUAUCAGCUUGUUGGUGGGGUAGUGGCUUACCAGGGCUUUGACGGGUAGGCGGCCUGAGAGGGUGACCGGCAACAUUGGGACUGAGAUACGGCGCAGACUCCUACGGGAGGCAGCAGUGGGGAAUAUUGCACAGUGGGCGGAAGCCGUAUGCAGCAACGCCGUGUGCGGGAUGACGGCCUUCGGGUUGUAAACCGCUUUCGCCUGUGACGAAGCGUGAGUGACGGUAAUGGGUAAAGAAGCACCGGCUAACUACGUG
This 468-nucleotide ribosomal RNA is filed under the name uncultured bacterium. Its description in RNAcentral is "partial 16S ribosomal RNA". It matches the Rfam family "Bacterial small subunit ribosomal RNA", at positions 28 to 507 of the family's 1533-position model. The record is from RNAcentral.